GCCCGAAGCCACUAGUGUUGCUCCUGCUGGCGCUCGGCGGAGUCUAAUGGUUCGCGCCUGGAAGAGGGGGUCAGACGAGGUCGCGGCAGUCUCGGCAACGGUGGAGCCCCUGCCUCAGCUCGCACUGGCUCCGCCCCCUCGCUUCCACGCCCCUGAAUGCCAGCCGGAAUGAGAUUUUCAAGACAGCGCAAAGAGACAGAAGACAGAGACCAGAGUCUGACAUCAACAGAAGUUUAUUUCAAACAGAAAGACUCUCCUGAGGGAAAUGGGUGUCUUGGAAGGGAGUAAGCUAGCUGGGGUCCUUUAUAAAGGCCAGUGGGAGACUUGGAAAUGAAAUUCUUGCAGCCACAGGGCUAUGUGUUGGUCUGUGAUGUGUCUUACCUGGAUUUGUUUGAUUUACAAAAGACCGUUCGACUUGGGUGGCAGGCUCCUCCAGCAGAGAUUAUCUGGAUUGUGGCUGACUGAAGAAUUUGGUCAAGGUCAGCUCUAUUCCCACAGAAAUCCUGUUUUAUAGCUGAGGCACUUUGUCACCUCAGACAAUUUCUUUUAAUUGAAAAGUUUUUAUUUUAUAGACCCACCCUAUCUUGAGAAUUGCCGGAAGACAAUCUCCAACCUUGCUCUUAGACCAAGAGUAGACAGUCUUCACUGUUAAUGUUUUUACUCUUUGUGGAAUCAGGUCAGUAGGGCAAGUUGUCUUGCUCUGAGGAUGUAACCUGUCAGAGAUCCUUCAGAGUCCUUAUUUAGAUCCGGAUCACCUCAGCUGUACACCCGUGCUUUUGUAGGGAUGUGGUUAAAAGGCCCUGCUUCCUAUGGGCGGAUGCGAAGUGAUACUGUUGCAAUUCCUGCUAAGUAGAGGAGUACAAAGUAGACUUUCUACCAGCAAGGCUCGAUUGGCUGGAUAUCUUGGCCGUGAGCAAUCCGCCCGCUUGUACAUUAUUGCUUCAAUGACAAAGCGUCAUCCAUACUGCCAUCUUGAGUUGCUGCAUCCCUAAUUCUUUCCCAAUGUUUCUAUUAAUAAUAAUGCAGAGUAAGAAAUUGGGUAUGAACUGUUUUCUUUCCAUGAAGGCAUUACCGCACACUGUUCUGAUAGGUAUCCAGGCACAGACACUUCUGUAUAGCUUCUGAUGCCAAAGAGAACCAGGAACCUGUAGCUUAGGAGGGGAUCUUGAUAAGUAAACACCGAGGCUAUAUUAAAGUGUAAUUAAAAGUAGUAGAUAUCAGUGUUAAGUCUCAAACCCUGGGACAAAUGGCCGAGGUGUCUAUUUAAUAUCAAAGCAGAUCCGACCUCCAGGUUCUCCCAGCAUCCCUCAGUCCCUACCUGUUACAGGAUAUGGCUGGCAUACCCUGCCUUCUACCCCAGAACUCUCCAGCCCAGGGACCAGGCUGCCCUUCCCUAGGUGCCUCUUCCCUAUAUAAUCCAGCCUUUUUGGUCACCUGCCCCUCUUGCACUUUUGACCUCUUGGCUACAGCACUGGGUUCUUCUCUCUCCCCUCUCCCCACACAGCCCAGCUCAGCCUGGUCACAUGUACUCUGGACAGAUGUCUCUGUCUCUGGCUAAGCUCUCCCACAUAUCUAUAAUAAACUUCCUCCUCUACCGUA
This 1599-nucleotide small RNA is filed under the name Rattus norvegicus (Norway rat). RNAcentral describes it as "uncharacterized LOC108352895". Lineage: Eukaryota; Metazoa; Chordata; Mammalia; Rodentia; Muridae. The record is from RNAcentral.